GACGAACGCUGGCGGCGUGCUUAACACAUGCGAGUCGAACGGAAAGGCCCUGCUUUUGUGGGGUGCUCGAGUGGCGAACGGGUGAGUAACACGUGAGUAACCUGCCCUUGACUGUGGGAUAACUUCAGGAAACUGGGGCUAAUACCGGGUAGGAGCUCCUGCUGCAUGGUGGGGGUUGGAAAGUUUCGGCGGUUGGGGAUGGACUCGCGGCUUAUCAGCUUGUUUGUGGGGUAGUGGCUUACCCAGGCUUUGACGGGUAGCCGGCCUGAGAGGGUGACCGGCCACAUUGGGACUGAGAUACGGCCCAGACUCCUACGGGAGGCAGCAGUGGGGAAUAUUGCACAAUGGGCGGAAGCCUGAUGCAGCAACGCCGCGUGCGGGAUGACGGCCUUCGGGUUGUAAACCGCUUUCGCCUGUGACGAAGCGUGAGUGACGGUAAUGGGUAAAGAAGCACCGGCUAACUACGUG
RNAcentral lists this ribosomal RNA (468 nucleotides) under uncultured bacterium. RNAcentral describes it as "partial 16S ribosomal RNA". It matches the Rfam family "Bacterial small subunit ribosomal RNA", at positions 28 to 507 of the family's 1533-position model. The record is from RNAcentral.